Molecule: ribosomal RNA, 253 nt
Filed under: uncultured bacterium
Lineage: Bacteria
Description: partial 16S ribosomal RNA
Rfam family: Bacterial small subunit ribosomal RNA
Source: RNAcentral
GACAGAGGGUGCAAACGUUGUUCGGAAUUACUGGGCGUAAAGCGCGUGUAGGCGGCUUGGAAAGUCGGGUGUGAAAUCCCAGGGCUCAACCCUGGAAGUGCACUCGAAACUGCCUCGCUAGAGUUCUGGAGAGGAAGGUGGAAUGCUUGGUGUAGAGGUGAAAUUCGUAGAUAUCAAGCGGAACACCGGUGGCGAAGGCGACCUUCUGGACAGAAACUGACGCUGAGACGCGAAAGCGUGGGGAGCAAGCAGG